Molecule: long non-coding RNA, 615 nt
Filed under: Nicotiana benthamiana
Lineage: Eukaryota; Viridiplantae; Streptophyta; Magnoliopsida; Solanales; Solanaceae
Description: long non-coding RNA (NBEN_LNC007678)
Source: RNAcentral
UCAAUUUUCAAGAAGUUGUUCGUCAAUCCGGUAAACUCGUUUCAACUCUUACGUGCUAAUAGUAUUUUUUUUGUGUUGUUAGUUUGCUUAAUUCUACUUAUUAUGGCAUUUCCCGUUCUUGCAAGGAUGGUUCGGGAUGUUUUAUCGAUUCAAGCGCCAACUGUUGCAUCAGAGAGCGCUUUUAGUCAAGCAAGACUACGAAUAGGUAAUCACAGAGCGUCGAUGCAGGACAACUUGGAAAAAUCAGUGCUUUUUCGAGAUUGGAUUCGCGCAGAAAGAAGGAACUUUGUCCUAGCAGAAUCACAACCAGAAAUAGAUGAGGCGUAUAAAGAAAUGAUAGCAGAACUUGCUCACGAAGCAACUUCACCCGGAAGUGGUGUGAACAAGCUUCAUUUCCACCAGCGCCAACACAACGACCUCCCAACCUUGAAGGUUUUAUGAGAUGUGUUAGAAAUAAUGCAUAAAUUAUGAUGUAACUUGUACAUUGGCACGUCUUCUUUUAGUUUUUUGUACUUUUAAUGGUGGUAUUAGUACCAUGUUGUGCUCAUUCCAUUGGGGGAAGGAAGACUAAGAAAGAUAUGCCAUUUUGGUCAAUAAAUAUGCUCUUUAUCNNNN